CACUUGUGAGUGACACGCAGAGCCUUGGCUCCAGGAACUUCUCCAGCGGCAAUUUUGAAAAGAGAUUCCUGGGGGCCUAAAAUUUCUGAAAGGGAGCGACCCCUUCGAUCAACUUCAUCAGAGCGCACCGGAAGUGGCCCAACCAUGACUGGUAUGAUCUACUGUGCCCUUUCUCAGAAAGAAGCUGGAGAGCAUGCUGUGCAGCAGCAGCUGGGAGC
Perognathus longimembris pacificus (Pacific pocket mouse) is the source of this 218-nucleotide long non-coding RNA. RefSeq lists it as uncharacterized. The transcript is spliced from 3 exons. The record is from RefSeq and is a predicted model, not a curated record. NCBI's taxonomy places the organism in Eukaryota, Metazoa, Chordata, Mammalia, Rodentia, Heteromyidae.